Molecule: non-coding RNA, 304 nt
Organism: Microcebus murinus (gray mouse lemur)
Lineage: Eukaryota; Metazoa; Chordata; Mammalia; Primates; Cheirogaleidae
Source: RefSeq, a predicted model, not a curated record
ACUGAGAUAAUAGAUUUUUGGAAAAAUGCCACAGAGCUGAAGUAUCCUUCUCAUCACUUCAUUUUGGAGCAUGGUUUCGAGUCUCAUCAGCAUCCAGGAUGUGAGCUCUUAAGACAAUCCCAGUUUCUCUGAAUUCCUUUCAAAUCAGCAUCAGUUUCACAAAACAGGCUUAACUCAUUCAGAAGAAGUUACGUCACUCUUCUGUCCUACAAUCUUGGCCAUGUGUUUGAGAGAUUCCUUGCCUGUACAAAGGAGAUGAUGUUCAGUCUGUAACAGAAGAGACACAAUAUCAUUAAGUGCCUAC